CCCUGGCUCAGGACGAACGCUGGCGGCGUGCCUAAUACAUGCAAGUCGAGCGGAUCUUGUCCUUCGGGACAAGGUUAGCGGCGGACGGGUGAGUAACACGUGGGUAACCUGCCUAUAAGACUGGGAUAACAUUCGGAAACGAAUGCUAAUACCGGAUACGCGGUUUGGUCGCAUGACCGGAUCGGGAAAGAUGGAGCAAUCUAUCACUUACAGAUGGACCCGCGGCGCAUUAGCUAGUUGGUGAGGUAACGGCUCACCAAGGCGACGAUGCGUAGCCGACCUGAGAGGGUGAUCGGCCACACUGGGACUGAGACACGGCCCAGACUCCUACGGGAGGCAGCAGUAGGGAAUCUUCCGCAAUGGACGAAAGUCUGACGGAGCAACGCCGCGUGAGUGAUGAAGGUUUUCGGAUCGUAAAGCUCUGUUGCCAGGGAAGAAUGCUUGGGAGAGUAACUGCUCCCAAGGUGACGGUACCUGAGAAGAAAGCCCCGGCUAACUAC
Molecule: ribosomal RNA, 500 nt
Filed under: Paenibacillaceae bacterium BF.80
Lineage: Bacteria; Bacillati; Bacillota; Bacilli; Caryophanales; Paenibacillaceae
Description: bacterial SSU rRNA
Rfam family: Bacterial small subunit ribosomal RNA
Source: RNAcentral